This is a long non-coding RNA of Sycon ciliatum, 341 nucleotides long. RefSeq lists it as uncharacterized. Lineage: Eukaryota; Metazoa; Porifera; Calcarea; Leucosolenida; Sycettidae. The transcript is spliced from 3 exons. The record is from RefSeq and is a predicted model, not a curated record.
GGCUCUUCUGAUGCUGGCAGCAUGCUUCUAUGGCAGCAUUCAUUGUGUCCAGUUUUUACUGUGGUGUGAUCCGUCGCUCUUGCACCGCGAAGUUAUGUUCGAUUUUGGUAAUGAGCCACGACAGGACUGCGAACCAGUAUCACUUCUACAUGUCUGCGCGCUCCGUGGACAUAAAGCACUGUGUGAGCUGCUGAUAAAAAAUGGUGUCGAUGUUAAUGUCCAAGAUGAGGAUGGUUGGACACCACUCCACUAUGCAGCAUACGGAGGUCAUGUGUCCGUACUAGAAUAUCUACUUAAUGCUGGACACCCAUUGGAAGCGAAAACUUCGGUAAGUCAGGAUA